GACGAACGCUGGCGGCGGGCUUAACACAUGCAAGUCGAACGGAAAGGCCCUGCUUUUGUGGGGUGCUCGAGUGGCGAACGGGUGAGUAACACGUGAGUAACCUGCCCUUGACUUUGGGAUAACUUCAGGAAACUGGGGCUAAUACCGGAUAGGAGCUCCUGCUGCAUGGUGGGGGUUGGAAAGUUUCGGCGGUUGGGGAUGGACGCGCGGCUUAUCAGCUUGUUGGUGGGGUAGUGGCUUACCAAGGCUUUGACGGGUAGCCGGCCUGAGAGGGUGACCGGCCACAUUGGGACUGAGAUACGGCCCAGACUCCUACGGGAGGCAGCAGUGGGGAAUAUUGCACAAUGGGCGGAAGCCUGAUGCAGCAACGCCGCGUGCGGGAUGACGGCCUUCGGGUUGUAAACCGCUUUCGCCUGUGACGAAGCGUGAGUGACGGUAAUGGGUAAAGAAGCACCGGCUAACUACGUG
Molecule: ribosomal RNA, 468 nt
Filed under: uncultured bacterium
Lineage: Bacteria
Description: partial 16S ribosomal RNA
Rfam family: Bacterial small subunit ribosomal RNA
Source: RNAcentral